AGUGAACGCUGGCGGUAGGCCUAACACAUGCAAGUCGAACGGCAGCACAGUAAGAGCUUGCUCUUACGGGUGGCGAGUGGCGGACGGGUGAGGAAUACAUCGGAAUCUACUUUUUCGUGGGGGAUAACGUAGGGAAACUUACGCUAAUACCGCAUACGACCUACGGGUGAAAGCAGGGGAUCUUCGGACCUUGCGCGAUUGAAUGAGCCGAUGUCGGAUUAGCUAGUUGGCGGGGUAAAGGCCCACCAAGGCGACGAUCCGUAGCUGGUCUGAGAGGAUGAUCAGCCACACUGGAACUGAGACACGGUCCAGACUCCUACGGGAGGCAGCAGUGGGGAAUAUUGGACAAUGGGCGCAAGCCUGAUCCAGCCAUACCGCGUGGGUGAAGAAGGCCUUCGGGUUGUAAAGCCCUCUUGUUGGGAAAGAAAAGCAGCAGGUUAAUACCCCGCUGUUCUGACGGUACCCAAAGAAUAAGCACCGGCUAACUUCG
Molecule: ribosomal RNA, 490 nt
Filed under: uncultured bacterium
Lineage: Bacteria
Description: partial 16S ribosomal RNA
Rfam family: Bacterial small subunit ribosomal RNA
Source: RNAcentral